UGAUUAUUCACCAGUCAAACUAAUAGUAAUUUUCUUGAUAUCGUGACUUGACAAAUUUUUGGUAUGAAAUUCACAAAUUAGGGUUUUCUUCUCGUGUCAUUAUAAAUUUCUCUGAAUUUCUGAUUCUGAAGAAGCAAGAACUUGUGAGAUGAUGGCUAACAUCUUCAGUCUCUCAUCAUCAAUCUCUGCACGUUUUCUUCUGUUAAUCAUAGCCUUUGUUCUCUUUAUGCAGUUGAGUGUUGGUUCAGAUCUGAAUAUUCGGAAACUGGGUGAAAUGCCACCGCGACCUCGUUCUCCAUAUCCAAACCCAGCACCAAUGCCUGGAAAAAUAGAGUUACCAUGAACUGGAAAAAUCUCAAUGUAUUUUUGUUCCAUGGACUACACCACACACACCACAUAAUUUCAAAUUAUGCAGUUAUAUUUCUGUGAUAAAAAUAAAUUAAUAUUCCCCUA
Long non-coding RNA from Vigna unguiculata (cowpea), 453 nucleotides. RefSeq lists it as uncharacterized. The record is from RefSeq and is a predicted model, not a curated record. Lineage: Eukaryota; Viridiplantae; Streptophyta; Magnoliopsida; Fabales; Fabaceae.